AUUCUAACCUUUUUCUCAUAUUUCGGACUUUUUUUUCACAAUUAAAAGUUUAUAUCUCACAAUUCCGAUUUUCUUUCUGAAAACUUUACUUCUGGCAAUUCUGACAUUUUUUUCACAACUCUUACAUUUUUCCCGUAAUUUGAAGUUUAUAAAUUGCAAUUCUGACUUUUUUCUUACAAUUGUAAGUUUAUAUAGCUCAAUUCUGACUAUUUUGUUCACAAUUGUGAGUUCAUAUCCUGCAAUUCUGAUUUUCUCACAAUUCUGAUAUUUUUCUUGCAAUUGCGGAUUUACAUAUUGCAAUCCUGACUUUCUCAAACAAUUCUGACUUUUUCCCACAAUUCUGAUUUUCCCACAAUUCUGACAUUUCACGUAAUUUCAAGUUUACAUCUCGCAAGUCUAACUUUUUGCUCAAAGUUGCGAUAUUCCCACAAUUGGGAUUGCAAUGCAAUUGCGAGGAAAAAACUCCAUUUGAUACUUUUUAUUGAGUGGCAGAAUCAGGCUUCCAUAGUAAAGGCCCAUUACACUGCAGGCUGAAGCACAGAAGAAGCAUCUGAAGAUGCUGAAGAUGUCAUUGAGACACAUUUCUGGAUCCGUUGAGGAUACGGAUGAUUGAGUCGAGAGCACAUGGAUUGUUUCCACAUGAUACAGCAUUGAAGUCAAUGUUCUUGGAUGCUGGUUCUCCAUAAGCACAAGAUGAUUCAUCCACCAGUGACUCCUGGCUGUGUUUCUAUUUCUUUCGAUGGAUUCUUACAGUGUUUUUAAUCUCAUGGUCUGUAUGUCGUGCUUUUGUAUCAAAUCAUUAUGGAUUUGAUCAUGGUGCCAUCUUUUUCUCACUUGGAGUUCAGGCACAAGUGACAUUAUGCUCGCCAAAAGACAAGCACACGUUGGUCUCCAUGUUGGAGAUGAUGGACAGUCAUGGGUUCCUGCUUCUGAAAAGAGGAAUAAUUCACCCUCAGAUGAUCAUUCUACCAUUAUUUACUCACAUUGUGAUGCUAUAUUUAGACAAAGAGGAGGAUUUCUGGCAUAUAACAUCAUAAAUAAUGGCAGAAUGAUCCACAUGAACGUGUUUCAGCAUGAGCUGAUCGUACAUUGACUGCACUGAAUGAAGAAGCUCUAUAUGAUGAGAUAUUUAUAUGCUAUUGGUGCUAGAGUGGAGAUGUUGGGGAAUAUUUCCUCAAGCACUUGUUCUCUGGAAUUUGACAUUGUUUUCAUUUACACAUUGUCUUAUACUGAUUAUGAUGAUAAUGUGGUUUGUUUCGUUUGUUUGUCAAGUACAUUUUAGCAAUAAAUGCCUUUGAUUUAAACCACGAUUGAUGGAGUUAUUGACACACAGUAAACCCUGUUUGUCUCAUGCACAUUAAAUGAAUCCCUCAGAGCAAUUAUUAAUCCAGUCACAGCGUAAUAAGAAUUGAUUCCACUAAUUGGAUUCAUUAGUGUUGGACUGAUUACUAAUUGGAGAAGUGCUGUUUAACACCGAGGUCGCUCUGCAGAGAAGCAUCUGCGUUCCAUUGAAAACAACGACUUUUAAUGAAGUGGUUCCACUCAUCUCAUGAAGUGUCACAUCUCUUCUCCCGAACGGAGUGUGGUCUUGUAAUUGGAAAUUUCAAAUCCUACGCAGCAGACUGAAGUAACAAACCAAUUUCCCUCCUGAACGCUGAGAAGAGUCGCUCAAGACGGCUGUCAAAGCCUGACUAUCUAAAUGCAAAUGCAGAUGAUUAUUCCAAGGUUAUUCCAUUCACUCCAGGCCACACCACACUCGAGAUUCCCCCCAGGACACGGGAAGUGGCCACAAUCCCGGGAAACAAUUCAAUGAUAGUCCAACAGCGAUGAAAGAAGGCUGACCCGUCCACACUGAACACUCACUGAACCAAAGUGUAUUCUACAUCAAAUACGGACGAGGAGAGCUGAGAAAUGCUGGAUUUUGACAAAACCAUCACAAUGAUGGCUUCUGGAGAAUACAAGGCGUGUGUUUUUGGGGUAAAAUUUUCUAUGCAGCCCGUAUUUAUAACACAUUAUGAGAGUAUUCUUAAGACGUAAUAGUGAAUGCAUAAUGUAUUAUAUAAAUAUAAAAAAAUG
Long non-coding RNA from Carassius auratus (goldfish), 2076 nucleotides. RefSeq lists it as uncharacterized. NCBI's taxonomy places the organism in Eukaryota, Metazoa, Chordata, Actinopteri, Cypriniformes, Cyprinidae. The transcript is spliced from 3 exons. The record is from RefSeq and is a predicted model, not a curated record.